Molecule: ribosomal RNA, 492 nt
Filed under: uncultured bacterium
Lineage: Bacteria
Description: partial 16S ribosomal RNA
Rfam family: Bacterial small subunit ribosomal RNA
Source: RNAcentral
AGUGAACGCUGGCGGUAGGCCUAACACAUGCAAGUCGAACGGCAGCACAGUAAGAGCUUGCUCUUACGGGUGGCGAGUGGCGGACGGGUGAGGAAUACAUCGGAAUCUACUUUUUCGUGGGGGAUAACGUAGGGAAACUUACGCUAAUACCGCAUACGACCUACGGGUGAAAGCAGGGGAUCUUCGGACCUUGCGCGAUUGAAUGAGCCGAUGUCGGAUUAGCUAGUUGGCGGGGUAAAGGCCCACCAAGGCGACGAUCCGUAGCUGGUCUGAGAGGAUGGUCAGCCACACUGGAACUGAGACACGGUCCAGACGCCUGCGGGAGGCAGCAGUGGGGAAUAGUGGACAAUGGGCGCAAGCCUGAUCCAGCCAUACCGCGUGGGUGAAGAAGGCCUUCGGGUUGUAAAGCCCUUUUGUGGGGAAAGAAAAGCAGCAGGUUAAUACCCCGCUGUUCUGACGGUACCCAAAAAAUAAGCACCGGCUAACUUCGUG